GUGGGCAAUCUGCCCUUCACUCUGGGACAAGCCCUGGAAACGGGGUCUAAUACCGGAUAAUACUCCUGCCUGCAUGGGCGGGGGUUGAAAGCUCCGGCGGUGAAGGAUGAGCCCGCGGCCUAUCAGCUUGUUGGUGGGGUAAUGGCCCACCAAGGCGACGACGGGUAGCCGGCCUGAGAGGGCGACCGGCCACACUGGGACUGAGACACGGCCCAGACUCCUACGGGAGGCAGCAGUGGGGAAUAUUGCACAAUGGGCGAAAGCCUGAUGCAGCGACGCCGCGUGAGGGAUGACGGCCUUCGGGUUGUAAACCUCUUUCAGCAGGGAAGAAGCGAAAGUGACGGUACCUGCAGAAGAAGCGCCGGCUAACUACGUGCCAGCAGCCGCGGUAAUACGUAGGGCGCAAGCGUUGUCCGGAAUUAUUGGGCGUAAAGAGCUCGUAGGCGGCUUGUCACGUCGGAUGUGAAAGCCCGAGGCUUAACCUCGGGUCUGCAUUCGAUACGGGCUAGCUAGAGUGUGGUAGGGGAGAUCGGAAUUCCUGGUGUAGCGGUGAAAUGCGCAGAUAUCAGGAGGAACACCGGUGGCGAAGGCGGAUCUCUGGGCCAUUACUGACGCUGAGGAGCGAAAGCGUGGGGAGCGAACAGGAUUAGAUACCCUGGUAGUCCACGCCGUAAACGUUGGGAACUAGGUGUUGGCGACAUUCCACGUCGUCGGUGCCGCAGCUAACGCAUUAAGUUCCCCGCCUGGGGAGUACGGCCGCAAGGCUAAAACUCAAAGGAAAUUGACGGGGGCCCGCACAAGCG
RNAcentral lists this ribosomal RNA (803 nucleotides) under Actinomycetales bacterium TLI243. RNAcentral's name for it is "bacterial SSU rRNA". It matches the Rfam family "Bacterial small subunit ribosomal RNA", at positions 117 to 931 of the family's 1533-position model. Lineage: Bacteria; Bacillati; Actinomycetota; Actinomycetes; Actinomycetales. The record is from RNAcentral.